This 448-nucleotide ribosomal RNA is filed under the name uncultured bacterium. RNAcentral describes it as "bacterial SSU rRNA". It matches the Rfam family "Bacterial small subunit ribosomal RNA", at positions 355 to 825 of the family's 1533-position model. The record is from RNAcentral.
CAGGGAAUCUUGCACAAUGGGCGAAAGCCUGAUGCAGCGACGCCGCGUGGGGGAUGAAGGCCUUAGGGUCGUAAACCCCUUUCAGCAGGGACGAAAAUGACGGUACCUGCAGAAGAAGCCCCGGCCAACUACGUGCCAGCAGCCGCGGUAAGACGUAGGGGGCGAGCGUUGUCCGGAUUUAUUGGGCGUAAAGAGCUCGUAGGCGGCUCAGUGAGUCGGAUGUGAAAACUCGGGGCUCAACCCCGAGACGCCAUCCGAUACUGCUGUGGCUUGAAUCUGGUAGGGGAGAUCGGAAUUCCUGGUGUAGCGGUGAAAUGCGCAGAUAUCAGGAGGAACACCGGUGGCGAAGGCGGAUCUCUGGGCCAGUAUUGACGCUGAGGAGCGAAAGCGUGGGUAGCAAACAGGAUUAGAUACCCCCGUAGUCCCUGAGCGGGCUGGCAAGGCGCAU